This 253-nucleotide ribosomal RNA is filed under the name uncultured bacterium. RNAcentral's name for it is "partial 16S ribosomal RNA". It matches the Rfam family "Bacterial small subunit ribosomal RNA", at positions 524 to 776 of the family's 1533-position model. The record is from RNAcentral.
UACGUAGGGUGCGAGCGUUAAUCGGAAUUACUGGGCGUAAAGCGUGCGCAGGCGGUUCGUUAAGUCCGAUGUGAAAGCCCCGGGCUCAACCUGGGAACUGCAUUUGAAACUGGCGGGCUUGAGUGUGGCAGAGGGGGGUGGAAUUCCGCGUGUAGCAGUGAAAUGCGUAGAGAUGCGGAGGAACACCGAUGGCGAAGGCAGCCCCCUGGGCUGAGAUUGACGCUCAGGCACGAAAGCGUGGGGAGCAAACAGG